This 69-nucleotide transfer RNA is filed under the name Phrynosoma platyrhinos (Desert horned lizard). RNAcentral's name for it is "tRNA-OTHER". The record is from RNAcentral. Lineage: Eukaryota; Metazoa; Chordata; Lepidosauria; Squamata; Phrynosomatidae.
GGCAUGGUGUAGUGGUUUGAGUGUUGGACUAUGACUCCGGAGACCAGGGUUCAAUUCCCAGCUUAGUCA